AAGAGUUUUGAAUACUAAAAGAAAAGCACCUAUACCUAACAAGAUUAGGUGAAUAUCCAAAAUGGUGGUCAUUUUAUUUCUAUCUUUCUA
Molecule: non-coding RNA, 90 nt
Rfam family: Antisense RNA which regulates isiA expression
Source: Rfam